GUAUAUCUAGUAUAAUAAAUAUAAUGGGUUUAGGACCUUUAGAUAAUGAUAUAUU
Molecule: transfer RNA, 55 nt
Filed under: Ortleppascaris sinensis
Lineage: Eukaryota; Metazoa; Nematoda; Chromadorea; Rhabditida; Ascarididae
Description: tRNA-Leu
Source: RNAcentral